AACGAACGCUGGCGGCAUGCCUAACACAUGCAAGUCGAACGAGACCUUCGGGUCUAGUGGCGCACGGGUGCGUAACGCGUGGGAACCUGCCCUUAGGUUCGGAAUAACUCCCCGAAAGGGGUGCUAAUACCGGAUAAUGUCUUCGGACCAAAGAUUUAUCGCCUUUGGAUGGGCCCGCGUUGGAUUAGCUAGUUGGUAGGGUAAAAGCCUACCAAGGCGACGAUCCAUAGCUGGUCUGAGAGGAUGAUCAGCCACACUGGGACUGAGACACGGCCCAGACUCCUACGGGAGGCAGCAGUGGGGAAUAUUGGACAAUGGGCGAAAGCCUGAUCCAGCAAUGCCGCGUGAGUGAUGAAGGCCUUAGGAUUGUAAAGCUCUUUUACCCGGGAUGAUAAUGACAGACCGGGAGAAUAAGCUCCGGCUAACUCCGUG
Molecule: ribosomal RNA, 432 nt
Filed under: uncultured bacterium
Lineage: Bacteria
Description: partial 16S ribosomal RNA
Rfam family: Bacterial small subunit ribosomal RNA
Source: RNAcentral